CCGCGCGAAGGUAGCGUAAUCACUUGUUUUUUAAAUAAAGACUAGUAUGAAUGGCCCCACGAGGACUUAACUGUCUCCCUUGUCCAAUCAGUGAAACUGAUCUCCUCGUGCAGAAGCGAGGAUACUCUCAUAAGACGAGAAGACCCUAUGGAGCUUUAAACUGAAAUCAACUACUAUUCACCUACCCUCUAAGGACCUAAUAAAUAACUAAGUAUACUUGAUUUAAGUUUUAGGUUGGGGCGACCAUGGAGAAAAAGAAAUCCUCCCUGAUGACCAUAAACUAAGAGCCACAACUCUAAGUAUUAAGACACUUAACCCUAAUUGACCCAUUUUAUGAUCAACGAACCAAGUUACCCUAGGGAUAACAGCGCAAUCCAUUUCAAGAGUCCCUAUCGACAAAUGGGUU
RNAcentral lists this ribosomal RNA (406 nucleotides) under Megophrys popei. RNAcentral's name for it is "partial 16S ribosomal RNA". It matches the Rfam family "Bacterial large subunit ribosomal RNA", at positions 1946 to 2518 of the family's 2925-position model. Lineage: Eukaryota; Metazoa; Chordata; Amphibia; Anura; Megophryidae. The record is from RNAcentral.